This is a long non-coding RNA of Helianthus annuus (common sunflower), 5923 nucleotides long. RefSeq lists it as uncharacterized. NCBI's taxonomy places the organism in Eukaryota, Viridiplantae, Streptophyta, Magnoliopsida, Asterales, Asteraceae. The transcript is spliced from 3 exons. The record is from RefSeq and is a predicted model, not a curated record.
AACACACACUGUGCGUGUGUGUGGUCAAUCUCACAAGGCAGAGGGAAAGGGGUAAACCCUAAUUCUCAAGAAAUCUCCAAAUUGAAAAGGGAAUUGAAGGUUUUUAGGAUGCAUGUAUCAAGAUUAUCGAUCUCCUAAGUGUUCUUCACUAUCAAGAACGUGUCAAGGAGAGGUCAAGCAUAGGAGGAUAACGGGUCAAGAUAAGGCAAGGUGACAAAUACACUUAAUGGAGUACUCGAGGUAAGUGAAUUUCGAUUCACUUUUUAGUAGGUUUAAUAGAUUUUAAUACUUAUGUUUACGAAACAUCAUGAAAGAACAUGUAAUAAUCAGAAGUACAAAGCCAAUAAUGCCUCAUUAUUGAGGAAGGUUGUAUUAAGCCGAAAGUAAAUUGGUGGGUUUAAACGGGUCGACUUUUAUGUGCAUAUGUUGCGUAAUGUAAUGAAAUUCGUUAUGGUUAAGACCUUGGGUAGGAAUUUUUAGUCAUUAUGUAAGGGGAACACUUCCCGGACCAUUAGGAACAAGUUUUAUAUGAUUCGGUUGUCGGUUAGUUAAUGAACGGAUUGUUUCAUGUUAGUGUAGGAAAUUUUAUAAGUAUAUGUGUAUAGGAACCCAAAGGGCACGUGGGUUGAAUCAUAGAUUGUUUAUACUAUGUAAAGUUGUGAAUGUGACAUUCCGGCAUAAACCUACAUGUAAAAGAAGCUUGUGUAUAUAUUCGUGAUUAAUUGAUUGUGCGUAGGAAGGAACAUUGGCAUGUAUGAAGGUACGCAUGUAUAUGUAAGUGUGUAUAUAUAUAUAUAUAUGUAUGUAUAUAUGAUAAUAAGUACGUAGGUGUGAAUGUAUGUGUGAAUGAAUGUUCAAUGCUUAAGACAUAUGCAUGAACGUUAUCAAAGUGUUCGAGUAUUUAUGGUUACUAAUGAUGUGCGUUGAGUUGGAAUGUAAUGUAGGUAUGGGAUCGUUGGCUUCAUGAAGAAAUGGGCUGGAUUUGGAUAAGAGUAUUUAAGAAAGCGCUUGGACAAUUCCACGACUACUUUAUAGAAUGCUCUACGAAAUUCUAUUAUAUAGUUUAAUGUUGUAUGGUAUGUUAAUGACUAAUGGUUUGGUUGUACGUGGUGUCCACAGGUAUCGCUUGGGUUUUCUCUACAUUUAUUGAAGUGAAGCGGACUUAGUUCGAGUUGAGAGCAAGGAUUGUACGGGGUAGAAUGGUCACAUAGUGUAACUCAUAUAGAUUUUGAAGUAUUUGAACCUUCAUGUGUUUGAUAUGUCUAUUAAAGAACGAAAUUUUUGGGCUCUUGUUUUCCGUUGCGUCGUAUUUUAAGUUAUUAUACGUUAGUCUUACAGGGAAUUGUUCUUAUUACGAACGGGUCAUGCCCGAAUUUUGUUAAAUAAUAGUAUGAUAAUAUUACAUUUUGGAAUGUGUAAUUUGGGCGUUACAAGUUGGUAUCAGAGCCCUGGUUUGAGGGAAAUCAAGUAUGAGGAGGCAAAUACUUGAACUCAAACCUGUGUGCUCUUGUGACGAGAAACCCGUACAAUCCAAGACUCGAUCAAGAUCUAAAGGUAGAAGCAAAUGUAAGUAUGAAUUUAAGUAUGUUUAUUAAGAAACUAACAUUAUGUUGUGUGUAAGAUAAGCAUAGUUGUUUGGAUGAGGAUGAUCCACGACUGUGGUCUCGGACUGACACCAAGGCAUGUAAUAAGACCAUUGCCCAGGUACGUAAAUUUUGCAUAAGGGUGCAUGUAAUGCUAAAAGUUAUCGAGUGAAGGAAAAUUUUAAUGAAAUAUAAUAAUAUAAUGGAAACGAAGUUAUGAAAAUGUUACACGUGCCGAAACCUAAUUCUUCGGACAUAAGGUGACGAUUACACGAAGACACGAAACUAGUAUGUGGAUUGUGUCCCUGGCCAGUACACAAGAAACAUAAGACGUUCGUGAGACCGUAAUGAUUGUUACAGGUAUGUCCGAUAGGAUUUGGUAGCGGCUGGGUGUGUGGGUGAAAUGGGUAGUAAGACUCUCGGGAGGUUGAGAGUACUAUGUAAGGGUGAAAAGUAUAAGUGAUAAGAAUGAAAUAUUGAGUCCAUAAGAAAGUAUGGAUUGACAAUGUAUGAAUGCAAUGUUUGAAUCCGCGAGACGGAUUCAAGGAUGAAAGGUAUGAAUGCAAUGUUUGAAUCCGCGAGACGGAUUCAAGGAUGAAAGAUAUGAAUGCAAUGCUUGAGUCCGCGAGACGGAUUCAAGGAUGAAAGAUGUGAAUGCAAUGCUUGAAUCCGCGAAACGGAUUCAAAGAAUGAAAGAUACGAAUGAUGCAAAUCCCUUGCGGAUUUGAUUAUGCUAAAGAAGGUUAUGAUAAGCUAUGCAAAUCGACCGGUUCAAGUUGAACAAGUCGAGUAAGGAUAGGGUACCAUCCGUUUAGAACGGGUGGUCGUGAAUGCAAUAAUAAAUGUAUGAAGUUCAACCCGUUAUACGGACAGAACGAAAUAUUUAUGUUGAACACAAUUAACUCGAUUUUACCGAGGCGUAAGUGGUAUGCUUGAAUCUCAUUAUGAGAAUAUAUGCCAUUACCCAUUUAAUUAGAUACUCGAAUGCGUAAAAGAAAUGAAAGUAUAUAAGCGAAUGGAACUAAAAUGUUGGUGUUGUAAGCGAAAUAAGUAUUAUGACUAACCUUUAAAACGGGAAGGGUAAAAAUUUGCAAGAAAACACUGGAACAGUGAAGCUAUGAGGUCGUAAGCAUGUUUGAAUUGAAAAAGAGUACAAACGUGUACUUCGAUACGCAUGUAUAUAAUAAGAAAUAAGUGGCAGUUGACCUUGAAAAGUCAAACUGCAGAAGCUGAGAAAUAAUUUGGUUUCAAACCAAGGGAGUGCUAGAGAAGAAAGGAAAUGUGUAGUGUAGUACACCAAAUGAGUUAAAGAAUUACGAAAUAAUGAUUAUGUAUUUACCCGUCACGAACGGGUCAAACAAUGAGAAUGAUAUAUAUAUAUAUAUAUAUUAAGAAAUGGUCAUGUAUUGACCCGUUAUGAAUAAGCUUAACACACUAGUGCUUUAAAAAGAAUCUUGGAAGUAGUAAUAUGUAAACAAGGAGAAGUAAUAAACAUCAUGUUUAAAUGAACUUGAAUGAAAUGUGAUAAUCCCCAAUUUUAUAAUGAGUGAUAGUGUGAUAAACCUAUCUAGGUCAGUGAAAGAAUGUUCAUAAGCGAAAGCUCGUCACACGGAUAAACGAGGUCGAUACGAAACAUGGUAUGGAUGGGGACGAAGAGGACCGACUCGUUGCUACAUGUUCAAGUACUGCACCAAGGUAGUAAGGUUAGCAAAUUAUUUAAUAUAUGAAGGUACGAUGCUCGAAUCCCUCAAACCUACGCUCUCGUGAAAGUGUGUUCGUUUCUAAGCGCCACGCAAGUAAGUGAUUUAAGGAUUUCGAGCUAUGCUUUUAGAUGAAAACGGAAAUGGGUUAUGGAUAAAUUACUAUUAUAACCUGGGUUGGGACGUUAUGGGAUGUUAGGGAAGGUUUCGGGACUGCCCGAGACCAUUUCUGGUUGGAAAAAAAAAGAGACCCGGGAACAAAAAAUUUUUGGUCAAACAGCGUCUGCACACCAGAGAGCCCGUCGGCGACGGCCUUUAUGCCGUCGGCGACGGCACCCCUCCACCUGACACGCUAACUGCCUGUCUACGGGCAAUGUUUAGCGACGGGACCUUCCCGAGCCCGUCGGCGACGCACCAUGUGCCGUCGGCGACGGGUCCCCCUUAUCUGCUUAUGCUGAAAUUGUUUGUUUAUUAGGCUAAGGUCCUUAAUUCAGUUCUAGCAUUCAUUAAACACUAAGAACACCCCAGAUUGAUUAUGAAGCUAGGAAAUUCAAGACAACUAUCGUGUUUUAAUGAUGAAUGUGUGGGAAGUUAUGUAUGCGAACGAAUGAAAUAAGUAACACAUCUAGAAUGUUUGUAAAGAAAGAUUGGGUAAGUUUAUAAAAAUUUUACGCUAUCAUUGAGAAAGUACCUCCAUAUGAAUAAGUACGAUAUGUUAAAUGUGUACGAAUGAACGAGAUUGAAUGCGGAAAUGAAUAAAAUAAUGAUGACUAGGGAUUGGUUUUCGCAAAGAAGUUUGAAAUCUUGAUAAGUAUGAAUAAUAUGUCAGGAUGCUAGUUUCAAAUUAUGGACUAUGGGAUCUGUGAUUAGGCAAUUUCUCACAACAUGCUUAUGUAAGUCGUCCAAUGUCACUUGAAUGAAUGAACGAACGAAGAAUAAAACUAGAUGGGUUAUAGAAGAAAUGAAAGAGGUUUCGGGGACGAAACCUUCUUUAAGGGGGAUAGAUUUGUAACACCCCAAAACUCGAAUUAUUAAAUUCGUUAGUAGGUUACCUUGGGUAAUUAGAUGAAGUACAACAACUAAGUUAUUAAACUUAGUUAAAUGUCUAAUAAAUAAGUAAAGGAAUGAACUUUGUGGCAACUAUGAUGAUGUGUUAGAGUUGAGGGACCUAGAUUGCCAUAAUGUAAACUAAAAUUUAAUAAAAAAAAAAGAAAGAAAAAUAAAACCACAACACACACUGUGCGUGUGUGUGGUCGAUCGCACAAGGCAGAGGGAAAGGGGUAAACCCUAAUUCUCAAGAAAUCUCCAAAUUGAAAAGGGAAUUGAAGGUUUUUAGGAUGCAUGUAUCAAGAUUAUCGAUCUCCUAAGUGUUCUUCACUAUCAAAUAAUAGGAACGUGUCAAGGAGAGGUCAAGCAUAGGAGGAUAACGGGUCAAGAUAAGGCAAGGUGACAAAUACACUUAAUGGAGUACUCGAGGUAAGUGAAUUUCGAUUCACUUUUUAGUAGGUUUAAUAGAUUUUAAUACUUAUGUUUACGAAACAUCAUGAAAGAACAUGUAAUAAUCAGAAGUACAAAGCCAAUAAUGCCUCAUUAUUGAGGAAGGUUGUAUUAAGCCGAAAGUAAAUUGGUGGGUUUAAACGGGUCGACUUUUAUGUGCAUAUGUUGCGUAAUGUAAUGAAAUUCGUUAUGGUUAAGACCUUGGGUAGGAAUUUUUAGUCAUUAUGUAAGGGGAACACUUCCCGGACCAUUAGGAACAAGUUUUAUAUGAUUCGGUUGUCGGUUAGUUAAUGAACGGAUUGUUUCAUGUUAGUGUAGGAAAUUUUAUAAGUAUAUGUGUAUAGGAACCCAAAGGGCACGUGGGUUGAAUCAUAGAUUGUUUAUACUAUGUAAAGUUGUGAAUGUGACAUUCCGGCAUAAACCUACAUGUAAAAGAAGCUUGUGUAUAUAUUCGUGAUUAAUUGAUUGUGCGUAGGAAGGAACAUUGGCAUGUAUGAAGGUACGCAUGUAUAUGUAAGUGUGUAUAUAUAUAUAUGUAUGUAUAUAUGAUAAUAAGUACGUAGGUGUGAAUGUAUGUGUGAAUGAAUGUUCAAUGCUUAAGACAUAUGCAUGAACGUUAUCAAAGUGUUCGAGUAUUUAUGGUUACUAAUGAUGUGCGUUGAGUUGGAAUGUAAUGUAGGUAUGGGAUCGUUGGCUUCAUGAAGAAAUGGGCUGGAUUUGGAUAAGAGUAUUUAAGAAAGCGCUUGGACAAUUCCACGACUACUUUAUAGAAUGCUCUACGAAAUUCUAUUAUAUAGUUUAAUGUUGUAUGGUAUGUUAAUGACUAAUGGUUUGGUUGUACGUGGUGUCCACAGGUAUCGCUUGGGUUUUCUCUACAUUUAUUGAAGUGAAGCGGACUUAGUUCGAGUUGAGAGCAAGGAUUGUACGGGGUAGAAUGGUCACAUAGUGUAACUCAUAUAGAUUUUGAAGUAUUUGAACCUUCAUGUGUUUGAUAUGUCUAUUAAAGAACGAAAUUUUUGGGCUCUUGUUUUCCGUUGCGUCGUAUUUUAAGUUAUUAUACGUUAGUCUUACAGGGAAUUGUUCUUAUUACGAACGGGUCAUGCCCGAAUUUUGUUAAAUAAUAGUAUGAUAAUAUUACAUUUU